GCUUUUCUUCUUUUCUUUUUUCUUUCUUUCUUUCUUUUUUUUUUAAGAAAAAAACUAAAGAUAUCUGUUGCCAGUAUUUAUAGCAGCGGGCUACUAAGCCUGAAUAUAUUACAUUAAGUUUAAUACAAUUCGUAGUCACUUCAAAACCCAGGUUCUCUUAGUCUGUGUGUACUUAAGAGGAAUGAAAUCAAAUUAGUAUAUAGUUUAGGACUGUAUAGGUAAUGCUCUUUUGUUAUCCAUGUUAUAGAAACUGUUUUUCAAGAACAGAUAGGUUUUCAUCUUCCAAUAAUGAUUACGGUUUAUUGCUAAAUAUCUUACAUUCCUUUUUUAUUUGGACUGCUAAGGAGAAAUGCUUGUUAAGAAACAAACUAGUCAAUUUCCAGUGCGGAGAGAAAGAGCAGAGGACCCAGCGGUUACUGUGUAAUCAGGAACAAGUACAGUGAGGAUGUGUUUCUGCCACCUCAUUCCGCCAGGUGGCAGGCACCUAUAGUCCCAGUGCAUCUCUGUGAGCUCCAGGGGAGCCCGGCCCACACAGUGAGAUCAGGACAGCCAGAGCUACAUAGUGAGGCCCAGGAAGAAAGAAAAGAGAUAACAUAUUUCUGUCACUUCAUUCUGUUUGAAUGGGUCUUAUGUUAAUAUUUUUUAUUAUGAGAACAGAAAGUUACAUACAUUCUUCCCACAAACAAAAAGAAAACAGAAAACUGAAUACUUAUAUCUCUAAUUGUAUAUUUUUGCUUUCUUAGGUAGAAACUGGAACUAUUAAUAUUUUUGAGUAUUUAAAUAAGUAGUUUUUAAAAAAUGGUAUCUAAAUGAGUUUAAAAAUGUAUUUGUCUUCUAAACUCAUGUAUAGUCACAACAUGUCAGUGUUGGCUAAAGGUGCUUAGUACCAGUUUUUGAAAACUAUGUUUACAUAUUUAAAUAUUUAAUUCUUUACAAAUGUACAAGAUCUUAAACAAAAGUGUAUAAAAAUUUCAGUAUCUGUAUUUGGCGUUCUCUUAACAACUCCACAGCAAAAUUUGGCAAUACUCUUUUGUUCAUGUAUUACAAGAUGUAGUAUCUGUAGUGGAAAGCUGGACAUUUAAAAUAAGCAGUUAGAAAAUCAUAAUCAUAGCCUGGCUUGUUUCUCUGCAGUUUUCAUGGUCUAGGCCUCCAGGUAAACUUAGUAUAUACCCAGGAAAUUACAGAUAAACAACCACAGGAGACUUGACCCUCGGUAGUAAUUUUCUGUGUAAGCAGCCAAUGUACUUAGAGAGCUUUAACAUCUUAUGCAGAGUGAAUGUUUCCUAACUGAUAGGAAACAUAAGCUUGGAGAUCCGGUCCUGCAUUGAAGUUUUUAAUUUUAAGCCCCAGCUUGUGCUUUAUCUUGCUUAUAUCCUGUCAAGCUAUAUACUUAAUCAUGUGGGUUUGAGAUAGUGUUUGCUUUAUACUAGAUUUGUAAAAAGAUUUUAAAAUAUGUAUGUAUAUAUUGUAACUUGAUGUACAGUGUUCUUAUUAUAAUGUAAUUUUUAUUAAAAAAUUCUGUUUUUUUCU
Molecule: long non-coding RNA, 1530 nt
Filed under: Mus musculus (house mouse)
Lineage: Eukaryota; Metazoa; Chordata; Mammalia; Rodentia; Muridae
Description: long non-coding RNA chr1:60152421-60153951
Source: RNAcentral